Molecule: ribosomal RNA, 105 nt
Filed under: Escherichia coli
Lineage: Bacteria; Pseudomonadati; Pseudomonadota; Gammaproteobacteria; Enterobacterales; Enterobacteriaceae
Source: RNAcentral
UAGCGCGGUGGUCCCACCUGACCCCAUGCCGAACUCAGAAGUGAAACGUCGUAGCGCCGAUGGUAGUGUGGGGUCUCCCCAUGCGAGAGUAGGGAACUGCCAGGC